UUUAUAAGGGUCCUGCCACAAAAUUGAAACACCAGAAAAAAAAAAAUAAAACUGCAACAGAGAACAGGCAUACAGAUUCAAACAAUUGAUUUCAAAAAAUUUUACUAUAAUUAUUUUUUAAAAAAUAAAGCAAACAAAUUUAUGUGGACUAGCAUUGCAAAUAAGUAAAACAUAUAAUUUAUUUUUUGUUUCCCCUUGCUAAAUUGGACAAAAUUGCUACCAAUUGUAGUUUAGCCUAAAAUUGAUAAAAUUAAAGAAUAUGAUAGAUUUAAAAAAAAAAAUACAAAGUCCAGAAUAUUAGGCCAGAAGGAAAUUACAUACUUCAGUAAUGGUAAUGGAUCACUUUGGCCUAUGAUCUAUGCCUUUUUUUGUGUGUGUGUGUGUGUGAUUGAUAAGGUGAAAUUGUUUUAUUCUUCUUAAGUUGGCUACCUUCAUUUCUUGUUUUCUUUAGUUUAAUUCUGUUGAUAUCAUUUCAGAUAUUUACCAGAGGAGAUGAGGAACCCUUCUACUUUCAAAUGGAUGCUGCAAAAUCCACAAUACCGUCAACAACUGGAAGACAUGCUGUUAAGAGUCCGAGAACAAUUUUUGUGAAAAGUUAUAAGUCACCUUUCUGUUUGUGUAGCAUUAGCUUCAUUUAUAUUUGACUUUACAAACAUAAUUUAUCUGGAGAGGCUUCAUUUUUUCUGCUGUUAGUGCUUUCAAGUUUGAUGCUAACCUUAGUUGGUUCUUUUAAAUAUGAUCUCCUCUGAUAUGACACCGGUUGCAUGGGUAUUGCAAUUCCUCUUCCCUACCACGAUUGUGCUACCUGACUGAGCAUGAGCUGAAGUUGGAGCUAGGUCUUUAUGUUGUGUAUCGCCAGUGAUGAGAAUGUCAUGCUGCCUUGCCCCAUUAAGUCAUGAGUUUCAUCAAUGAUGCUGUUUCUGGUGAUUAAACUAGAAGGCAUUGUUCUGUCGUGUUGUCCUGCUAGGUGAGCACAAUGCCUUCCCUGGUCAAACCCAUUCCUACCCAAAUCUGAGUUAGUGAUGGUGCAAAGAGUCUGCCAGCCUCACACAAUUAGUUCCUUGGUCAUCUUUUCAUUUCAAUCCUCUGCCUUGUCUCUUCAAGUUAUGCUUAUGUCUAGGUCUCUUGCAAGGCCACAAGUCACCAAAUAAAAACUAAACAUGAUUUGAGGUGGAGUUGGGGAGAGAGUCCUGCCAUUUGUAAGCUAUUGUGGGACAAACAAACUUGUCCAAGAGGGAAUGAAUAGAUAUGAGGUUGAGGUAUUUUCAUGGAGAUAGUCUUUUGGUUUGGGGUUCCUGAAUACUGAGCAUGAAGUUUUGGUCUUUAGCUUCCAUUACCUGCCUUUCCCAUGUAUAUUAUUUCUGUUUAAAGGGUUGGGUGUGUCACUCAUUUACAAUGUCUGUUGCCAGCGGUGUACAAGUGGUGUUGUUAGGUGUUGGGCCUUAAAAUUCAUGGUAGAGAUAUUAAUUUAGCACUCAGUUUUCUGAUUUGUUCACUUUAAUUUUUUUUUCUUUUUAAAUUUAGGUCUAGCAGGUUCCUAUCAUGCUAAUAUGUUUUCUUAUUCAGAUAAAUGGAGUUCUUUGCUCUUCAUGUUUGUUUCAGGAAUAAUAUGAGUGGAAGCGGUGAAUGGGACAACCGGAUGAUGGAAUCCUUGAAA
Molecule: unclassified non-coding RNA, 1657 nt
Filed under: Hevea brasiliensis (rubber tree)
Lineage: Eukaryota; Viridiplantae; Streptophyta; Magnoliopsida; Malpighiales; Euphorbiaceae
Source: RNAcentral